Molecule: ribosomal RNA, 425 nt
Filed under: uncultured archaeon
Lineage: Archaea
Description: bacterial SSU rRNA
Rfam family: Archaeal small subunit ribosomal RNA
Source: RNAcentral
UACCAGCUCUCCGAGUUGUAGGGAUGAUUAUUGGGCUUAAAGCGUCCGUAGCUGGCUUAGCAAGUCUCCUGUUAAAUUCAGCGACCUAAUCGUUGAGCCGCGGGAGAUACUACUAGGCUAGGAGGCGGGAGAGGUCGACGGUACUUUCGGGGUAGGGGUGAAAUCCUAUAAUCCCGGGAGGACCACCAGUGGCGAAGGCUGUCGACUAGAACGCGCUCGACGGUGAGGGACGAAAGCUGGGGGAGCGAACCGGAUUAGAUACCCGGGUAGUCCCAGCUGUGAACUAUGCGGGCUAGGUGUUGGGGUGGCUACGGCCACUUCAGUGCCGCAGGAAAGCCAUUAAGCCCGCCGCCUGGGGAUACGGCCGCAAGGCUGAAACUUAAAGGAAUUGGCGGGGAGCACACAAGGCGUGAAGCUUGCGGUUC